Notolabrus celidotus (New Zealand spotty) is the source of this 507-nucleotide long non-coding RNA. RefSeq lists it as uncharacterized. The record is from RefSeq and is a predicted model, not a curated record. The transcript has 3 exons. Lineage: Eukaryota; Metazoa; Chordata; Actinopteri; Labriformes; Labridae.
GCUCCUGCCAUGGGUUUGUGGCCAAUAAACAUUUAUUAAAUUUAGAUAAUCUAAAGCCAAAUAAAAUCCCCUGACGACCGAGACGCAAGGAGGCCGCCAUGUUGUCGUCCUCCGUCGGUGUGAGAGGCGUCCACACAAAUGCCUGAUGCUGAGCCACGGCCUCUGACUUCAGGAAACGGAAAACCCCCUCUGUCCGAUCCUCCCACUUUAUCAGUCCUGGAUUUCUCUCUGGGUUCAGCAGAAUGUCCCUGAUGAACUCCCACAAACUUUCAUACACACCGCUCCACUUGAGAUCUGUGAUGCUGUGGAAGAGGAUGUGUCCUGCGCUGCCAGCAGCUCGGAUGAAGUCCUGGUAGCUCAAGCUGCAGAGCUGAUGGCCGUCAAUGUCAAAGUUUUGAAAAGGGAUGCUGGAGGCGUCAAUCUGGUGCAUGUCCAUGACCUGCUGCAGCCACUCCCACACCUGGAACUUUGUCCAGAACUGAGGCUGGGUGUCCCGAGGCCAUAAGC